UGGGAGCUGUGACUGUGGACUUUGCUCUC
RNAcentral lists this non-coding RNA (29 nucleotides) under Rattus norvegicus (Norway rat). The record is from RNAcentral. Lineage: Eukaryota; Metazoa; Chordata; Mammalia; Rodentia; Muridae.